Molecule: non-coding RNA, 81 nt
Organism: Podarcis lilfordi (Lilford's wall lizard)
Lineage: Eukaryota; Metazoa; Chordata; Lepidosauria; Squamata; Lacertidae
Source: the annotation of a GenBank genome assembly
CGGUAUGAAAUAGCUCAGUUGGUAGAGCAUGAGACUCUUAAUCUCAUGGUCCUAAAUUCGAGCCCCAUGUUAGGAGAAAGA